UCUCUCCUCUUAAAAUUUUAAUCUAACAAGAGGCUUCAUUUCUAUUUUUCAGAAACUGCCUCUUUCUCCCUCCACUUUUUGUGAGCCAAACAAGUCCUAAAAAUAAAUAACGGUAUUGUAAUUUUAUUCCUCCUCGAGUCUCCCAUACUAUUUUUUUUAGGUCUACAUUUUUUUCAAAAAUAUGUUUUAAGCCCAACAAGAAUGUAGAUCCUUUUACAAAUAAUCAUUCAGCACAACCACACAUAUAUACAUAUAUAAUAUGUAUGUAUGCAUAUUAAAAAAAUAUAUAGCAAAUGAAUGAUCUAAUGCAUCAUGGAAACAUAGACAAGAGAUAGGGAUAUCAAUAGAUUGGAUUGAGCAAUAUAUAUAUCCAUCCCAUAAUUAAAAAUUUCAUAUCAAUAUAUAUCCCAUAUCUGUAUUGAGUUGCAUCAGGUCAUGCAGUGAUAUAGGUUGGAAUAGGUCAGAUAGAUAAAAGGAGGGGUCG
RNAcentral lists this long non-coding RNA (484 nucleotides) under Elaeis guineensis (African oil palm). RNAcentral describes it as "long non-coding RNA (EGUI_LNC019153)". Lineage: Eukaryota; Viridiplantae; Streptophyta; Magnoliopsida; Arecales; Arecaceae. The record is from RNAcentral.